Molecule: ribosomal RNA, 709 nt
Filed under: uncultured bacterium
Lineage: Bacteria
Description: bacterial SSU rRNA
Rfam family: Bacterial small subunit ribosomal RNA
Source: RNAcentral
UGCUUGCACUAAAUGAAACUAGAUACAAGCGAGCGGCGGACGGGUGAGUAACACGUGGGUAACCUGCCCAAGAGACUGGGAUAACACCUGGAAACAGAUGCUAAUACCGGAUAACAACACUAGACGCAUGUCUAGAGUUUGAAAGAUGGUUCUGCUAUCACUCUUGGAUGGACCUGCGGUGCAUUAGCUAGUUGGUAAGGUAACGGCUUACCAAGGCAAUGAUGCAUAGCCGAGUUGAGAGACUGAUCGGCCACAUUGGGACUGAGACACGGCCCAAACUCCUACGGGAGGCAGCAGUAGGGAAUCUUCCACAAUGGACGAAAGUCUGAUGGAGCAACGCCGCGUGAGUGAAGAAGGGUUUCGGCUCGUAAAGCUCUGUUGGUAGUGAAGAAAGAUAGAGGUAGUAACUGGCCUUUAUUUGACGGUAAUUACUUAGAAAGUCACGGCUAACUACGUGCCAGCAGCCGCGGUAAUACGUAGGUGGCAAGCGUUGUCCGGAUUUAUUGGGCGUAAGGCGAGUGCAGGCGGUUCAAUAAGUCUGAUGCGAAAGCCUUCGGCUCAACCGGAGAAUUGCAUCAGAAACUGUUGAACUUGAGUGCAGAAGAGGAGAGUGGAACUCCAUGUGUAGCGGUGGAAUGCGUAGAUAUAUGGAAGAACACCAGUGGCGAAGGCGGCUCUCUGGUCUGCAACUGACGCUGAGGCUCGAAAA